UGCUUGGUGGCCUCUGAUACGGCAUGAGAUUCUUGAUCUCAGGGUUGUGGGUCUGAGCCCCACCUUGGGCAA
Podarcis lilfordi (Lilford's wall lizard) is the source of this 72-nucleotide non-coding RNA. NCBI's taxonomy places the organism in Eukaryota, Metazoa, Chordata, Lepidosauria, Squamata, Lacertidae. The record is from the annotation of a GenBank genome assembly.